RNAcentral lists this ribosomal RNA (370 nucleotides) under uncultured cyanobacterium. RNAcentral describes it as "bacterial SSU rRNA". It matches the Rfam family "Bacterial small subunit ribosomal RNA", at positions 376 to 762 of the family's 1533-position model. The record is from RNAcentral. Lineage: Bacteria; Bacillati; Cyanobacteriota.
CGAAAGCCUGACGGAGCAAUACCGCGUGAGGGAGGAAGGCUCUUGGGUUGUAAACCUCUUUUCUCAGGGAAGAAAGAUGACGGUACCUGAGGAAUAAGCAUCGGCUAACUCCGUGCCAGCAGCCGCGGUAAUACGGAGGAUGCAAGCGUUAUCCGGAAUGAUUGGGCGUAAAGCGUCCGCAGGUGGUGACUCAAGUCUGCUGUUAAAGGUCGGGGCUCAACCCCGAACCAGCAGUGGAAACUGGGAUGCUAGAGUGCGGUAGGGGCAGAGGGAAUUCCUGGUGUAGCGGUGAAAUGCGUAGAGAUCAGGAAGAACACCGGUGGCGAAAGCGCUCUGCUAGACCGAGACUGACACUGAGGGACGAAAGCUA